This 1884-nucleotide long non-coding RNA is filed under the name Linum usitatissimum (flax). Its description in RNAcentral is "long non-coding RNA (LUSI_LNC006273)". Lineage: Eukaryota; Viridiplantae; Streptophyta; Magnoliopsida; Malpighiales; Linaceae. The record is from RNAcentral.
UCUGAAUAAUCUCGAUAACAAAAAUCAUCCAUACAAAGUCUAGUUUAAAGCUUCAUCUAAUCCAAACAGCACGAGAGUUUAGCUACUCAUGGUUCGAGAAACAAGAAAGCAAGAAAGGAAAGUAACCCGAGAAGACGACAUCUUUCGUCAAGGAAUCUCCGUCUUAUCGCCGAUCUUUGAUCCGUCUCCAAUCGUUGAUGAAAUCAUGCUUCAAACAUUCUCUGGGACUCUUUUCUCAAAACUGAAAAUUUUGUCCGAAAUAAUGUCUAUUCAAGUGUAAUUCGUCUAAAGGGGUCUCCAUGGUAUUUAAAGGUUUCUGGGUAAAGUUAGAGAAGUAUUAAGCUAAAAAUCUCGUCAGGACAAAGGACAUGGACGUGUUCUUUCUUCUGCUCUUUUCAGCCAUGUGCAUCAAUAGGAAGUACACGACAUUGUACUUUUAGAACAUAUCGUAUGACACCUGAAAUGUACCAAAACCAUACAAAGCAAUGUAUAACGGCCAAAGGGGCCAAGGGGGAGAACCAAAUAUCCACCAAACGUCAUGAAUUCGAUCAAGUUGAGACAUCCAAACAUCCAAACAUCCAAAAAUAUUAAUUAAAGAAGAACAAAUGUGCUAAUAAUCGAUAUAAUAUAUAAACGGUGUAAACGUGUUCAAACUUUGUAUACAAUUUAUACAAAUUAUAUUAUUACUAUCUGUAUGAAGUCCGUCAUUUGAGAUGGCAAUGGUGGAAGAAUGCAUGGUGAAUUUCCCUAUUUACCUUUUUAAUCUGAACCAUUAGCUAGGUCUAAGUCAAAAACAUGAACGGCUGUUUGAACGGAAUGAUUGCCUUGAUCCUGGAUUUAACCCCAGCCGAGCAAGACAAAUAUUCGUUGACUUUUAAAAGACCAAAAACUAACAUCAAAUAUUUGUACAGUGAUAAGAACUCACAAGGUACUUCAUCAAUCAGCAAACCCUAUCUUCUUUCAGCAACGGAUUAACAGAACUUGAAACAAAAACACGAGAAUACAUACAUUUCAGAAAGAAGAUAUCAUAGUUGAAAAGCAAAGAGAUUCAUGACCUCAGAGAUAUUGGUGGAUAGAAAUUCAUCCAUUGGACUCUAUCGAAUCCAUCAAGAGUAGCAAAUAUAUUCAUAACAUCAUCGGCCGAAAAAUCAAAGCCUAGACAGACUACAUCAGAUAGCAACAACCAACGAGAAUGACUACAAGGAACCCGGAGUGCUUACGAAUUGCUUCCUGGAGAGGAGGGCGGUUUGUCAUGAAUUUCCGCGUGUAAACGGUGACUUCCUUGGACUUACUGUUUUCCCUUUCCGCCAUGGUUGCUGCUUGCUUCGUGAAAGGCAGAAGUCAAUAGCAGCCCUUGCAGUGAAAGCUUGGAAGCCACUGAACAACCCCAGCUCUUUAGUUGAUUAAUAUAAACCUCCAUUGUUAGGGUUUCCACUAGAAAAGAUGAAUAUUUGGGUUACGCUUUCCUGAGCAUAAAAUAAUGGGCUUUUAUUUCAACCUUGGCCCAGUUCUCAAAAAAGCUUUUCCUGGAGCCUCUCUUCGGGCUCAUGGCGGAGGUUUUUCUUUUUUGACAAAUCUGGCGGAGGUUUUUGCAAUGUUGACAAAUCUGGCAGAGGUUCAUGUAUGUGACAAAACGGCAAAAAGGGUGUCGUUCUGGACACUCCUUCAAAUCUGCCAUUGCUGGUUUGUUUUUGUUGCUCUUGAUGUGGAUCUGUUGAAAACUCAAGAGCUAUCGGCAGCAGUGGUACAAGCCGAAGAUUCUGAUCUCUUUUGAUAUUAGUUCCGUGAUUCGCCGGAGUUAUGGCGGCGAAAGGAACUCAACCGAACAUGCACAAAUCCGUUGCAAUUUGUAAGGGAUACAACUUUGCUUCUACCUGGGAACAG